This 253-nucleotide ribosomal RNA is filed under the name uncultured bacterium. RNAcentral's name for it is "partial 16S ribosomal RNA". It matches the Rfam family "Bacterial small subunit ribosomal RNA", at positions 524 to 776 of the family's 1533-position model. The record is from RNAcentral.
GACGGAGGGUGCUAGCGUUGUUCGGAAUUACUGGGCGUAAAGGGCGCGUAGGCGGCCUGAUCAGUCGGGUGUGAAAGCCCGGGGCUCAACCCCGGGACGGCACCCGAGACGGUCAGGCUGGAGACCGGGAGAGGAGGGUGGAAUAGCCAGUGUAGAGGUGAAAUUCGUAGAUAUUCGCAAGAACACCAGUGGCGAAGGCGGCUCACUGGCCCGAUACUGACGCUGAGGCACGAAAGCGUGGGGAGCAAACAGG